Molecule: ribosomal RNA, 468 nt
Filed under: uncultured bacterium
Lineage: Bacteria
Description: partial 16S ribosomal RNA
Rfam family: Bacterial small subunit ribosomal RNA
Source: RNAcentral
GACGAACGCUGGCGGCGUGCUUAACACAUGCAAGUCGAACGGAAAGGCCCUGCUUUUGUGGGGUGCUCGAAUGGCGAACGGGUGAGUAACACGUGAGUAACCUGCCCUUGACUUUGGGAUAACUUCAGGAAACUGGGGCUAAUACCGGAUAGGAGCUCCUGCUGCAUGGUGGGGGUUGGAAAGUUUCGGCGGUUGGGGAUGGACUCGCGGCUUAUCAGCUUGUUGGUGGGGUAGGGGCUUACCAAGGCUUUGACGGGUAGACGGCCUGAGAGGGUGAACGGCGACAAUGGGACUGAGGGACGGAGCAGACGGCAACGGGCGGCAGCAGUGGGGAAUCUUGCACAACGGGCGGAAGCCUGAUGCAGCAACGCCGCGUGCGGAAUGACGUCCUUUGGGUUGUAAACCGCUUUCGCCUGUGACGAAGCGUGAGUGACGGUAAUGGGUAAAGAAGCACCGGCUAACUACGUG